RNAcentral lists this long non-coding RNA (396 nucleotides) under Bos taurus (domestic cattle). RNAcentral's name for it is "long non-coding RNA NONBTAT002900". The record is from RNAcentral. Lineage: Eukaryota; Metazoa; Chordata; Mammalia; Artiodactyla; Bovidae.
GGGUUUUUCAUUUCACACAUCAUUCAACUCCUCGCCCCAGUGAUUCCGGAGGGCCAAUAACCCAUCCGAUCCUGUGUGCACAUCAGCGCCAAUCAUGCAAAUUCCUGCUUCAGAAAGGUGGAGAUCCUAAUACAAAUUCUUGAAAAGCGUAUACCCUGGGACUUUUAUAGCGGGUCCUCUUACAUCACCUCAGAAAGGGAUGAAAUCUGGAGCCAGAAAACAGAAUAGUUUAGUUCCCGACCAAGCUUGGCAAUUAUAUUAAUGUUUCCUUGGGUAACUUUCUCUUUUCAUGGUCAUAAUAUGUAAUUGAACUUGAGUUUACAUUAGACAGACAGUAUUUUUAUUAAAUUCAAAAUAGCUUCUUCGGUCAAAUUGACUUAAUCUGGCCAUCUAAUG